CCUACGGGAGGCAGCAGUGGGGAAUAUUGCACAAUGGGCGCAAGCCUGAUGCAGCCAUGCCGCGUGUGUGAAGAAGGCCUUCGGGUUGUAAAGCACUUUCAGCGGGGAGGAAGGCGGUGAGGUUAAUAACCUCAUCGAUUGACGUUACCCGCAGAAGAAGCACCGGCUAACUCCGUGCCAGCAGCCGCGGUAAUACGGAGGGUGCAAGCGUUAAUCGGAAUUACUGGGCGUAAAGCGCACGCAGGCGGUCUGUCAAGUCGGAUGUGAAAUCCUCGGGCUCAACCUGGGAACUGCAUUCGAAACUGGCAGGCUAGAGUCUUGUAGAGGGGGGUAGAAUUCCAGGUGUAGCGGUGAAAUGCGUAGAGAUCUGGAGGAAUACCGGUGGCGAAGGCGGCCCCCUGGACAAAGACUGACGCUCAGGUGCGAAAGCGUGGGGAGCAAACAGGAUUAGAUACCCGAGUAGUC
RNAcentral lists this ribosomal RNA (465 nucleotides) under uncultured Klebsiella sp. RNAcentral describes it as "bacterial SSU rRNA". It matches the Rfam family "Bacterial small subunit ribosomal RNA", at positions 338 to 795 of the family's 1533-position model. Lineage: Bacteria; Pseudomonadati; Pseudomonadota; Gammaproteobacteria; Enterobacterales; Enterobacteriaceae. The record is from RNAcentral.